Molecule: long non-coding RNA, 736 nt
Filed under: Carica papaya (papaya)
Lineage: Eukaryota; Viridiplantae; Streptophyta; Magnoliopsida; Brassicales; Caricaceae
Description: long non-coding RNA (CPAP_LNC001291)
Source: RNAcentral
GACCGGUAUGAAUUAGCUUAAGGUAAGGCUUAAAUGAGAGGUCAAGGUCGGGACCCAUGGGUGGCUAUUUUACAAACCUUGGGUAAGGCUUAUGUAAGUCAUUCCUUUAUAUUGGGGUAGGAUUUAGCCUUGGGCAAGGUUCUGGAAGUGAACUCCAUAUGGACAACAUAUUAACCUUGGGAAAGGGUUAUGCGAAGAUCCUGACUGGGCUGAUGAUACGAAAUAGUCUAAAGUAAGGCCUAUCGAGUUGCUGAGUUUUGAGGGUAUGUGCGACUAAAGUAUAAACCUUGGGUAAGGCCUAUACAGAUAUCAUUAAAAUCAUUGUCCAGAUGACGUUGCCCUCACAUGCGUUGGGCAAGGUUAGCACAAUUGGCGCAAGCCCCAGGCAAGGGUUAGAACUUCACUCUUAGCCUUGGGCCAGGCUCAUACGGUCCUUGUCCAAGGAUCUAAUGAUCCUAUGCAGUUUCUCUGAAAACCUAUAAUGAAGAAGAAGACUCUAGUUAGAGUGAUUGAUGCGGAACCCAAGAUUGACCAGCGUGAUCAAGAACUCAAACAAUUUCAUUUAAAGGCAUCAAAGGAAUUGAUCCUAUAGAAACCUUUCGUACUAACUCGCUAUCAAGAAUGAUAGGAACUAAGGUCACUAGAAAUGAAAAAAAGAAAAUGGAAAAAUGCCACAAAAGUCAUACUUUGAUAUGUAGAUCCACUCGUUACUUAACAAGAUGGUAGAAGAACCUCU